CAGUCGCCGCGGUAAUACGAAGGGGGCUAGCGUUGCUCGGAAUCACUGGGCGUAAAGGGUGCGUAGGCGGGUCUUUAAGUCAGGGGUGAAAUCCUGGAGCUCAACUCCAGAACUGCCUUUGAUACUGAAGAUCUUGAGUAUGGGAGAGGUGAGUGGAACUGCGAGUGUAGAGGUGAAAUUCGUAGAUAUUCGCAAGAACACCAGUGGCGAAGGCGGCUCACUGGACCGGAAUUGACGCUGAGGUGCGAAAGCGUGGGGAGCAAACAGGAUUAGAUACCCCCGUAGUCCCUGUCUCUUAUAC
This 301-nucleotide ribosomal RNA is filed under the name uncultured bacterium. RNAcentral's name for it is "partial 16S ribosomal RNA". It matches the Rfam family "Bacterial small subunit ribosomal RNA", at positions 509 to 807 of the family's 1533-position model. The record is from RNAcentral.